CCUACGGGUUGCAGCAGUAGGGAAUCUUCCGCAAUGGUCGAAAGUCUGACGGAGCGACGCCGCGUGAGCGAAGAAGGUCUUCGGAUCGUAAAGCUCUGUUGUUAGGGACGAAGAAGUACCGUUCGAAUAGGGCGGUACGGUGACGGUACCUAACGAGAAAGCCCCGGCUAACUACGUGCCAGCAGCCGCGGUAAUACGUAGGGGGCGAGCGUUGUCCGGAAUUAUUGGGCGUAAAGCGCGCGCGGGCGGUCCCUUAAGUCUGAUGUGAAAGUCCACGGCUCAACCGUGGAGGGUCAUUGGAAACUGGGGGACUUGAGUGCAGAAGAGGAGAGCGGAAUUCCACGUGUAGCGGUGAAAUGCGUAGAGAUGUGGAGGAACACCAGUGGCGAAGGCGGCUCUCUGGUCUGUAACUGACGCUGAGGCGCGAAAGCGUGGGGAGCAAACAGGAUUAGAUACCCGGGUAGUC
This 466-nucleotide ribosomal RNA is filed under the name uncultured bacterium. RNAcentral's name for it is "bacterial SSU rRNA". It matches the Rfam family "Bacterial small subunit ribosomal RNA", at positions 338 to 795 of the family's 1533-position model. The record is from RNAcentral.